This 1136-nucleotide long non-coding RNA is filed under the name Homo sapiens (human). RNAcentral describes it as "non-protein coding lnc-PRKN-22:3". The record is from RNAcentral. Lineage: Eukaryota; Metazoa; Chordata; Mammalia; Primates; Hominidae.
AGUCCUGGGCUGGCCCCAUUGUCAGCAGCAACAACACUUGCUCUAAAGCUGGCCAGGGGUCGCCACCAAGACCCAGUGUUGAAAGCCACUGUGUCAUUGCAGGACCAAGUGGAAAAGGAGAGGCUGCCUCCCUCCUGCGCCUGCCCUAGAAACAGUGGGCCUGGCAGUUAGUGGAGGGAGCUUAGGAGAUCCCGUCUUCCGGAAGGUCCAGGAGCUCACCACGCCUGUUAGAUUCCAUGAUGAUAUUCUAGCACAGAGAGUUGUGGGCUAACCCAGGGUUUAAACUGUGAUGUCCAAGCAACUGUUGGGCUGCAUUAUGCCAGCUCAAGGGCUUUCUCCAAUCCCUGCCCCGAGGUGGCCACCGCAGCAGUGUAGGAGAGUGAAGGAGCCAGAAGGGGGUCUGCCCCACCUGCCCACUCAGCAAACCAUGCUUUUGGCUUACUUCACUAGAUACUUGGAAAGCAAUAGCAACAAGCUUUAAUCAGAUACCAUGGGAAAACAUAGCCCUUAUUUUGAAUCACCUAAAAUCUGAAAGUGGAGAGACAAAAAUAUACGUACUUCACUAGUGGCUUCUGCAAGUUUGUUUUACUAGAUCAUGCAGGAAGCAGCUAGACAGCAGUGGCUCCUUCUACCUUCCCUGCACGUGCCUUGAAAUCAGCUUCAUCUCUCCUGGUAACCCCCUAGAAAUUUCGCUUCAACGAGAUUAGGUCCUUAAAAUUAUGACUUCUGCACCUCCUAGUCUUGUCACCACCUCCCAGCCCUGGGCCACACCUGUAGCCUCCAGAAAACUUACCAAUGGAGUCAGGACUUUCUCUCAGUGGUUUUCAAGGUAACAAAGUGGCUUUCAGAGCCUCAUCUCCAAAUGAAGGCCAGGACACACACAAUUAAAUCAAGGUAGUUGAAAGGAAAAAGCUUUCAAAUAAACCUUUCUGGGAUUCAAUUAUGAGUCUUGCUUCACCGCGAAUCACAUACCCCAUUGUAAUACUAAUCUUGAACAAAAUUUCUAUUUGCAUCAUAUGUUUUCUUGCUCACCAAGAGGGCGACACAUUACCAAUAGAUACCUGGGGACGUGCUUCAGUCUGAACUAUAAUUGAAUCCCUGACAUUAUAAGGAACUUGGUAAGAAUUUUCCUCUUG